GGAGGAAAAGAAACCAACAGGGAUUGCCUUAGUAACGGCGAGUGAAACGGCAAAAGCUCAAAUUUGAAAUCGGCCACCAGGUCGAGUUGUAAUUUGUAGAUUGUAUCUUGAGAGCGGAUUAAAGUCUGUUGGAACACAGCGCCUUAGAGGGUGACAGCCCCGUAAAAUCUAUUCUCAUUGUAAGAUACUUUCGAAGAGUCGAGUUGUUUGGGAAUGCAGCUCUAAGUGGGAGGUAAAUUCCUUCUAAAGCUAAAUAUUGACGAGAGACCGAUAGCGAACAAGUACUGUGAAGGAAAGAUGAAAAGCACUUUGAAAAGAGAGUGAAAAAGUACGUGAAAUUGUUAAAAGGGAAGGGUAUUGAAUCAGACUUGGUGCUGUUGUUCAACUGUGUUUCGGCAUAGUGUACUCAGCAGUACUAGGCCAAGGUGGGGUGUUUGGGAGUGAAAAAGAAGUAGGAAGGUAACUCUUCGGAGUGUUAUAGCCUACUUUCAUAGCUCCUCAGGCGCCUCAGGACUGCGCUUCGGGAAGGACCUUGGCAUAAUGAUUCUAUAC
Molecule: ribosomal RNA, 552 nt
Filed under: Geotrichum sp. CLV9
Lineage: Eukaryota; Fungi; Ascomycota; Dipodascomycetes; Dipodascales; Dipodascaceae
Description: eukaryotic LSU rRNA
Rfam family: Eukaryotic large subunit ribosomal RNA
Source: RNAcentral